GAUCUCUUAGUAUAAAAAGUAUGCUUGACUUCCAAUUAAGAGGUAUAGGAGAUUA
RNAcentral lists this transfer RNA (55 nucleotides) under Heterakis beramporia. Its description in RNAcentral is "tRNA-Gly". The record is from RNAcentral. Lineage: Eukaryota; Metazoa; Nematoda; Chromadorea; Rhabditida; Heterakidae.